GGAGGAGUGGCAGAGUGGUCGAAUGCACCGGUCUUGAAAACCGACGGGCGUGAAAGCGUCCCCAGGGUUCGAAUCCCUGUUCCUCCGCCA
RNAcentral lists this transfer RNA (90 nucleotides) under bacterium. RNAcentral's name for it is "tRNA-Ser". It matches the Rfam family "tRNA". Rfam says of the family: Transfer RNA (tRNA) molecules are approximately 80 nucleotides in length. Their secondary structure includes four short double-helical elements and three loops (D, anti-codon, and T loops). Further hydrogen bonds mediate the characteristic L-shaped molecular structure. tRNAs have two regions of fundamental functional importance: the anti-codon, which is responsible for specific mRNA codon recognition, and the 3' end, to which the tRNAs corresponding amino acid is attached (by aminoacyl-tRNA synthetases). tRNAs cope with the degeneracy of the genetic code in two manners: having more than one tRNA (with a specific anti-codon) for a particular amino acid; and 'wobble' base-pairing, i.e. permitting non-standard base-pairing at the 3rd anti-codon position. RNAcentral also lists the same sequence under 3 other names. The record is from RNAcentral.